GAUGAAGAACGUAGCGAAAUGCGAUAAGUAAUGUGAAUUGCAGAAUUCAGUGAAUCAUCGAAUCUUUGAACGCACAUUGCGCCCGCCAGUAUUCUGGCGGGCAUGCCUGUUCGAGCGUCAUUUCAACCAUCAAGCCCCGGGCUUGUGUUGGGGACCUGCGGCUGCCGCAGGCCCUGAAAUGCAGUGGCGGGCUCGCUGUCACUCCGAGCGUAGUAAUACAUCUCGCUCUGGACGUGCUGCGGGUUCCGGCCGUUAAAAGCCUUAUUUACCCAAGGUUGACCUCGGAUCAGGUAGGAAGACCCGCUGAACUUAAGCAUAUCAAUAAGCGGAGG
This 332-nucleotide unclassified non-coding RNA is filed under the name soil metagenome. RNAcentral's name for it is "partial contains 5.8S ribosomal RNA, internal transcribed spacer 2, and large subunit ribosomal RNA". The stretch from base 1 to 120 matches the Rfam family "5.8S ribosomal RNA", at positions 35 to 154 of the family's 154-position model. The record is from RNAcentral.